Molecule: long non-coding RNA, 931 nt
Organism: Rattus rattus (black rat)
Lineage: Eukaryota; Metazoa; Chordata; Mammalia; Rodentia; Muridae
Exons: 3
Source: RefSeq, a predicted model, not a curated record
CUUUACUUACAUUUUACAUGCAGCAGAAAACGGAAAUGUCUGAAAUCCUGCGUAUAACGAAUUCACUGAAGAAUGCUGCCUUGGUAACCCCUGUGAAGUCAAUGACAGGCAAAAUCUCUACCUGGCUCGUCGCACUCUGGUUCACAAAGUCUUGCACAAGUUAAGUUUUCUGUGGAGCUGCAGUUUAUAUCCUCAGUAUCAAAUCCAUGCUUGGAAGUAAGAUCUGAAAGGAAAUGGAAGAAACUAUCAGCAAAGUGCCACUAAAGUCAUAUUCUGAAAAAAAUGUUGACAUAAUAGCUCUUUACCUGAACUUGGAUAACAAUAUGAGUCUCCUCGUCAUGACAUUUUUGAAGACAAAUCUAUCUUUGCUGGAGUCUGGGUUUAACAAAGCAGCAGGAAAGUGGAUUCGAGAAAGGAGAGAGCAACAGAGAGGCCCCAAACUCUCUACAAACAUACUCUGUGUAAAUCCUUAACUCCUGAACUAUGUUUGCUGUGGAGUCCAUGAAGGACUCUUAAGACUGAAAACACUUAACAGAGACUUCAACUUACUCCUCAUGUGGGGGAGAGUUUAUAAAUUUUGAGCCAAACCGACAACUUACUGUGAAAUAAACAAGAAUCAACUCUCAUUAGUGGGAGAUAACAGAAUUUAAACAACAGCCACAGAAGAAAAACAGGAAAACACAGCUAGCUGAUCCUCAAAUGUGAAGGCUUCUUAAGAAAGAAAGAGUCAGAUGUCCGCUUUCUCCAUCACUGUUCACCACAGCACUAAAAGUCCCAACAGAACAAUGAGGCAAUAAAGAGAAAUAAAAGGUAUCCAAACUGAAAAGGAGGUAGUCAAAUUAUGUCUGUUUGCAGAUAUUGUGAUAUUAUACAUAAGUGCAAUUAUAAAAUCUGGAAUAAAGAAAUUCAAUAAAUUUUCAGGAUAAAAAAA